CAACCUGUGAGACUCAAACUGGGGGCUCUUUUGGAUUUUCAUCGGAAGAAAAGUGCCGCCAGGUUUUGAGUGUCACCGGUUG
This 82-nucleotide microRNA precursor is filed under the name Mus caroli (Ryukyu mouse). RNAcentral describes it as "microRNA 292 (MGP_CAROLIEiJ_G0008063.1)". The stretch from base 7 to 76 matches the Rfam family "mir-290 microRNA precursor family". Lineage: Eukaryota; Metazoa; Chordata; Mammalia; Rodentia; Muridae. The record is from RNAcentral.